AAAAGGACUUUGAAAAGAGAGUUAAAAAGUGCUUGAAAUUGCUGGGAGGGAAGCGAAUGGAUGCCUUUGUUGCCCGCUGGUUGUGUGCGGAACGGCGUAAAAGCUGGUCUGUCAACCAACUCAGCGGGCUCGCUAGUGUGGGGGUGGAUGCCUGGACAAAGAUCCCGGGCUUUCUGUUCGGGAUUGAUGCUGGUGUCCACUCUGUGGCCUUGGGUGUGCGCCUUUCUGGCGGGUUUGUUUACCCUGCACGCCCGGGACGCUGGUGGCUUUUGGUUUUUCAUUCGACCCGUCUUGAAACACGGACCAAGGAGUCUAACAUGUAUGCGAGCCUGCGGGUUUGACACCUCGCUAGGCGUAAGGAAACUGAUGCGUGGGAUCCCCUUUGUGGGUGCACCACCGACCGACCAUGAGCUUCUGCGAAAGGUUCGAGUUGAAGCAUACCUGCUGGGACCCGAAAGAUGGUGAACUAUGCCUGAGCAGGGCGAAGCCAGAGGAAACUCUGGUGGAGGCUCGUAGCGAUACUGACGUGCAAAUCGUUCGUCAGACUUGGGUAUAGGGGCGAAAGACUAAUCGAACCAUCUAGUAGCUGGUUCCCUCCGAAGUAUCCCUCAGGAUAGCUGGAGCUCAUAUUGAGAGUUUUAUCAGGUAAAGCGAAUGAUUAGAGGCAUUGGGGGUGAAACACCCUCGACCUAUUCUCAAACUUUAAAUAGGUAAGGUGUCGGGGUUGCUCCGGUGAACCCCGACCUUUGAAU
This 752-nucleotide ribosomal RNA is filed under the name Lycopodioides jiulongensis. RNAcentral's name for it is "Selaginella jiulongensis partial 26S ribosomal RNA". It matches the Rfam family "Eukaryotic large subunit ribosomal RNA", at positions 367 to 1114 of the family's 3401-position model. The record is from RNAcentral. Lineage: Eukaryota; Viridiplantae; Streptophyta; Lycopodiopsida; Selaginellales; Selaginellaceae.